UGCUUAACACAUGCAAGUCGGACGCUUCAUGGUUUCGGCCAUGGGGAGUGGCGCACGGGUGAGUAGCGCGUGGGAACCUGCCCAGUAGUGGGGGAUAACCGAGGGAAACUUCGGCUAAUACCGCAUGCGCCCCGGGGCAACUCGGGGGAAAGAUUUAUCGCUAUUGGAGGGGCCCGCGUCGGAUUAGCUAGUUGGUGGGGUAACGGCCUACCAAGGCAGCGAUCCGUAGCUGGUCUGAGAGGAUGAUCAGCCACACUGGGACUGAGACACGGCCCAGACUCCUACGGGAGGCAGCAGUGGGGAAUAUUGGACAAUGGGCGCAAGCCUGAUCCAGCAAUGCCGCGUGAGUGUGAAGGCCUUAGGGUUGUAAAGCUC
Molecule: ribosomal RNA, 375 nt
Filed under: uncultured organism
Description: bacterial SSU rRNA
Rfam family: Bacterial small subunit ribosomal RNA
Source: RNAcentral